GAUGAACGCUGGCGGCGUGCCUAAUACAUGCAAGUCGAGCGAACAGACGAGGAGCUUGCUCCUCUGACGUUAGCGGCGGACGGGUGAGUAACACGUGGAUAACCUACCUAUAAGACUGGGAUAACUUCGGGAAACCGGAGCUAAUACCGGAUAAUAUAUUGAACCGCAUGGUUCAAUAGUGAAAGACGGUUUUGCUGUCACUUAUAGAUGGAUCCGCGCCGCAUUAGCUAGUUGGUAAGGUAACGGCUUACCAAGGCAACGAUGCGUAGCCGACCUGAGAGGGUGAUCGGCCACACUGGAACUGAGACACGGUCCAGACUCCUACGGGAGGCAGCAGUAGGGAAUCUUCCGCAAUGGGCGAAAGCUUGACGGAGCAACGCCGCGCGAGUGAUGAAGGUCUUCGGAUCGUAAAACUCUGUUAUUAGGGAAGAACAAAUGUGUAAGUAACUAUGCACGUCUUGACGGUACCUAAUCAGAAAGCCACGGCUAACUACGU
RNAcentral lists this ribosomal RNA (496 nucleotides) under uncultured bacterium. RNAcentral describes it as "partial 16S ribosomal RNA". It matches the Rfam family "Bacterial small subunit ribosomal RNA", at positions 28 to 506 of the family's 1533-position model. The record is from RNAcentral.